CACCUCAGAGCCAUUUCACUGCUCAGAUGAAUGGAAGAAUCCUGUUCUGAAUCGAUCCAGUUUUGACCUGGGUAGAGAAGAGGCCCAGUUGAAACCAUUAAAGAUUUAUUCCUGACAGAACCAAUUAGGCCUGGCUGAGCAGCAAAGACCUUAAUUAGUCACAUGACUCAAAUUCCUUACUCACGCAAUUGGCACCAGGAAAUUAAUUACAGCAGCAGCAGCCCAGGCAGGGUGGAUGGAUUGUGAUUGUCAUGAGGGGAUGCACUGAGAGCUCAGAUUCUUUUCAAUCUCAGAAGAUUUCUAAGCAAGUCCAAGUAUUCAGUGAAAUCAGCAUCAAGAAUUCUAAGAAAAUAGACCUGAUGCUUCCAGUUGUUCAGGAGAAGAAACACUUGCUAAUGAAUGUGACAUGUUUUUGAACCCAUUUUCCAAGUCUCAAUCUUUGCUCUCUACAUAUCUAUCUGCAAUAAGUCAGUUUAGGGACUGAAGCCAAAGCCACAGAAGUGGAUUCCGUGCCAAGGUUCCUUUUAUUCCUGGUGAUCUACUCAGUUCCCUACUAUCCCAAAGGGAAACAAAAGACUCCCAGUUUUCUGAAAACCAGAUUCUCUGCACAACAGUGCAUUGCAUUGCCACAGGAUGGGCCACAGUGGAUGUUCUCCUAGCAAACAAAUCAGACUUUUCUCAAACUGAAGGUAUUUGGAAGUUGGUAGCCUGCAUGUUUCACACACAGCCAGUCAUCACUGUGACACUCUACACAGGAUUUUGGAAUGAAAUUCAAACAGAG
Corapipo altera (White-ruffed manakin) is the source of this 781-nucleotide long non-coding RNA. RefSeq lists it as uncharacterized. The transcript has 6 exons. Lineage: Eukaryota; Metazoa; Chordata; Aves; Passeriformes; Pipridae. The record is from RefSeq and is a predicted model, not a curated record.